This 456-nucleotide unclassified non-coding RNA is filed under the name Hevea brasiliensis (rubber tree). The record is from RNAcentral. Lineage: Eukaryota; Viridiplantae; Streptophyta; Magnoliopsida; Malpighiales; Euphorbiaceae.
AAGAAUCAGGCUCUUAUUCAGAUGCACGACGUGGCUUCGUCUGUUAAAGCUUUGCAAUACUACGCAAAUGUUCAGCCGAGUAUUAGGGGAAGGAAUGUUUACAUACAAUUUUCUUCGCAUCAGGAACUAACAACAGCAGACCAGAACCCGCAAGGGCGGAAAGAUCAGGAUUCGCAACCCAAUCGAAUCCUGUUAGUAACAAUUCAUCACAUGCUCUAUCCUAUAACUGUGGAAGUGCUACAACAAGUGUUUGCUCCUCAUGGAUUUGUGGAAAAGAUUGUCACCUUUCAGAAGUCAGCUGGAUUUCAAGCUCUUAUUCAGUAUCAAACAAGGCAGAGUGCUAUGCAAGCAAGCAAUGCGCUUCAAGGGCGCAAUAUAUAUGAUGGUUGCUGUCAGCUAGACAUUCAGUUUUCCAAUCUUGAUGAGUUACAGGUGAACUACAAUAAUGAACGUUCA